GAGAUGUGGGUAGUCCGCACGAGCGCACCCUAUCCUUAGUUGCCAGCACAUUAUGGUGGGGACUCUAAGGAGACUGCCUGGGAUAACUAGGAGGAAGGUGGGGAUGAUGUCAAGUCAGUAUGUCCCUUAUGCUCAGGGCUACACACGUGUUACAAUGGUUGGUACAGAGGGUCGCGAAGCCGCAAGGUGGAGCCAAUCCCCCAAAACCAACCCCAGUUCGGAUUGGAGUCUGCAACUCGACUCCAUGAAGCAGGAAUCGCUAGUAAUCGUGGAUCAGAACGCCACGGUGAAUACGUUCCCGGGUCUUGUACACACCGCCCGUCACGCCAUGGAAGUCAGUAGUACCCGAAUCGAGUGGCUCAACCUUCGGGAGGGAGCUCGUUAAGGUAAGAUUGGUAACUGGGGCGAAGUCGUAACAAGGUAGCCGUACCGGAAGGUGCGGCUGGAUCACCUCCUUUU
Molecule: ribosomal RNA, 459 nt
Filed under: uncultured delta proteobacterium
Lineage: Bacteria; Deltaproteobacteria
Description: bacterial SSU rRNA
Rfam family: Bacterial small subunit ribosomal RNA
Source: RNAcentral